AACCUUAUAAGUUUGUGAUUAUCUCUCCAAAAGAAGAAUGCAUACUUAUUUGUUAAAGUAACCAAAUAUUGUAUAAGCAUCUACGCAUCUUUUCCAAAAAUACCAAUAGUGGUAGCAGCACUUAUCCAAAAAAUUUCAACAUGGUAUUAGAGCAUAUGUAAAAUUUUAAUAUUUCUAACCAUUAUGGUAGUUCUUUUUAUUCUUUAUAUUUUUUUUUAUAUAUUUUUUACAUUUUAUAGCAUCUAUUCAGGCAGUUCUAGACCGAUCUUGCCAGGAGCUAGCCUCACCCAUAGGGCGAGAUUGAAUUACUUGGCCAAGUCCCGACAUACAUUCUUUAUAAUAACUGUGGAUUAUCUUUGAUCAGCGCAAUAUGUGCUACAAUAACUGUGGAUUUUCUUUGAUCAGUGCAAUAUGCGUGCGAAAAUUACAUGACAAUUUGAUAUGACUUGGAUCAACAUCGACCUUCCAAUUAACCUGUGACCGAUAAUCCUGAUAUUUCAUUUGACUAUACAAUAACAUAACUAUAUUUGUGUAUGAUUCUUUCUAGGCACCCACGGUGGCAGUGAAGUUGGCGAUUUCUGAGAAAGAGUUAAUGUUUGGUAAUAUUCUUAUUUUAAAGAUAUUGAACCUCUAAGUCAGUUUCAAUAUUCCAUUGUUAUUAUUGAAUAGAUUGAUCUCUCUUCGAGUUUCUUCAGUACUUCAAUUGUUGUCUUUUCAUGGUUGAACAGGCAUAAACAUUCUUGAUUUAAUCUAUGUUGUAUUUCUUUUCUCCAUGUGGACGUUAGAUUUGCUUUUUUGCCUUGUGAUGCAUGUAUUAGUAGGUGCAAAAGUAUGCCAUAAAGAUUGUACUUCUGCUUUUUUUUUUGGGAAGGUUUAC
RNAcentral lists this long non-coding RNA (877 nucleotides) under Amborella trichopoda. RNAcentral's name for it is "long non-coding RNA (ATRI_LNC005377)". Lineage: Eukaryota; Viridiplantae; Streptophyta; Magnoliopsida; Amborellales; Amborellaceae. The record is from RNAcentral.